Molecule: ribosomal RNA, 497 nt
Filed under: uncultured bacterium
Lineage: Bacteria
Description: partial 16S ribosomal RNA
Rfam family: Bacterial small subunit ribosomal RNA
Source: RNAcentral
GAUGAACGCUGGCGGCGUGCCUAAUACAUGCAAGUCGAGCGAACGGACGAGAAGCUUGCUUCUCUGAUGUUAGCGGCGGACGGGUGAGUAACACGUGGAUAACCUACCUAUAAGACUGGGAUAACUUCGGGAAACCGGAGCUAAUACCGGAUAAUAUUUUGAACCGCAUGGUUCAAAAGUGAAAGACGGUCUUGCUGUCACUUAUAGAUGGAUCCGCGCUGCAUUAGCUAGUUGGUAAGGUAACGGCUUACCAAGGCAACGAUGCAUAGCCGACCUGAGAGGGUGAUCGGCCACACUGGAACUGAGACACGGUCCAGACUCCUACGGGAGGCAGCAGUAGGGAAUCUUCCGCAAUGGGCGAAAGCCUGACGGAGCAACGCCGCGUGAGUGAUGAAGGUCUUCGGAUCGUAAAACUCUGUUAUUAGGGAAGAACAUAUGUGUAAGUAACUGUGCACAUCUUGACGGUACCUAAUCAGAAAGCCACGGCUAACUACGAG